Macaca mulatta (Rhesus monkey) is the source of this 1540-nucleotide RNA transcript. It is a transcript of the gene named leucine carboxyl methyltransferase 1, with no coding region annotated. The record is from RefSeq and is marked provisional. Lineage: Eukaryota; Metazoa; Chordata; Mammalia; Primates; Cercopithecidae.
GAACCAAUAAGCGGAGAGGUUGCUGGGGCAGCCGGCGUGGGCGGCGUCACUGAGCCGCGCCAGCUGAGCCAGGUGGAGCCUUACCGUCUUUUGCUUUCUGCCUGUGACUAGCGCCGUCCCCCACCGCCGGUCGACCCCGCUUCCAUGUCCCUGGCGGACACAGCUCCCCGGAACCUCCACGCCCAUGGCCACUAGGCAGAGGGAGUCCUCUAUUACCUCCUGCUCUUCCGCCUCGAGCUGCGACGCGGACGACGAGGGCGUGCGCGGCACCUGCGAAGAUGCUUCCCUGUGCAAGAGGUUUGCAGUAAGCAUUGGCUACUGGCACGACCCUUACAUCCAGCACUUUGUGAGACUGUCUAAAGAGAGGAAAGCCCCCGAAAUCAACAGAGGAUAUUUUGCUCGAGUCCAUGGUGUCAGUCAGCUUAUAAAGGCGUUUCUACGGAAGACAGAAUGUCAUUGUCAAAUCAUCAACCUUGGGGCAGGCAUGGAUACCACCUUCUGGAGAUUAAAGGAUGAAGAUCUUCUCCCAAGUAAAUAUUUUGAGGUUGACUUUCCAAUGAUCGUCACAAGAAAGCUGCACAGUAUCAAAUGCAAGCCUCCCCUAUCCAGCCCCAUUCUAGAACUGCAUUCAGAGGACACACUUCAGAUGGAUGGACACAUACUGGAUUCAAAGAGAUAUGCCGUUAUUGGAGCCGAUCUCCGAGACCUGUCUGAACUGGAAGAGAAACUAAAGAAAUGUAACAUGAAUACACAAUUGCCAACACUCCUGAUAGCUGAAUGUGUGCUGGUUUACAUGACUCCAGAGCAGUCUGCAAACCUCCUGAAGUGGGCAGCCAGCAGUUUUGAGGCAGCCAUGUUCAUAAACUACGAACAGGUGAACAUGGGUGAUCGGUUUGGGCAGAUCAUGAUUGAAAACCUGCGGAGACGCCAGUGUGACCUGGCGGGAGUGGAGACUUGCAAGUCAUUAGAGUCACAGAAAGAACGGCUCCUGUCGAAUGGGUGGGAAACAGCAUCGGCCGUCGACAUGAUGGAGUUGUACAACAGGUUACCUCGAGCUGAAGUGAGCAGGAUAGAAUCACUUGAAUUUCUGGAUGAAAUGGAGCUGCUGGAGCAACUCAUGCGGCAUUACUGCCUUUGCUGGGCAACCAAAGGAGGAAAUGAGCUCGGUUCACUGGAUGUGAAAAGCACAGAUCCUUACAUCUUCCUCACGAACCCAGGCAGCUAGCGGCUGGAUUUUCCCUCUUCUUAUUAAGGUGCACAUCCCUGUCUGUGGCCGAGUAGGGCCACGGGGAGCAGGGCUGAAGGAGAUAACUUAUUAAUCUGUUGAAGGCUUAUGCCAAGCCAGAAGCAGAAGCCACUCGCCCUCCUGGAGGAUACCUGCGAGCUCCCUGAGCGGUGGGCGGGCCUCGUCUGCAGGUCUCAUCCCACACCCUGAGAAGCCUCGAUCACUACAGUGGUCGCACAUGUUCCUCUUCCUGUUCCUGUUGACAUGUCGGCGUUUAAAUAAAUCUCACUUGCCACCAGUUUCCUGUGGUUGGAA